Molecule: long non-coding RNA, 2111 nt
Organism: Olea europaea var. sylvestris
Lineage: Eukaryota; Viridiplantae; Streptophyta; Magnoliopsida; Lamiales; Oleaceae
Exons: 2
Source: RefSeq, a predicted model, not a curated record
UUGACAAGACAGCACAAGCCUGGCACCAAAGUACUCUGCCAAAUUGCGAAUUUAGACAAUGCCAUUGAGUUAUGUUCUCCCAUUUUUGCCCUCGUUUAGCAAUUGCUGUCCUCAUAUUUCCCUUAGAAUUUCCAGCCCUACCUUCUGAUUUCCCAAUCGACCCGAACGGCGCCCUUGCUUCUCCCGCAAUCGGAUCUCUCUGUUGAUGAGAUUUUCAAGUCACAUCGUUCCGACCACCCAAGAUUCGUUGUCCAAUAUUCGUCGGUUGAAGGUAAGGUAGCCCCAUACGAGAUCGUGUGGUUCGUGUUCCUUGCACCCGGAUCUCUCCGCCUACCAUUUCCGGCCAACAUCCAUCGGAGCACCUUACCAACAUCUGCUCCAGGCUCCUACCGACGGUAACUAGGCUCUUCAACAACCAUUAGGUAAUUGUUCUUCCAUUUGACCACCACAACUGCCACAGCUCGUUGUACAGCAAGGUUCGACCUUGAUUUAGUUUCAGGGCCUUCUGAACAUCGAACUUCCAUCACAAAUCCGCUCCUCACAAUGGAUAACUUCGGCUAGCAGAGGAACUGUUUUCCCGAAGACUUGCUCGGCACUAGUGGCAGUGCCCACCCGAUGCAUUGUGCUGCAUCCGACCAGCAAGACCCGUAGCCAACGGUGCAAAAGUCAGCCAAAUGGAAAUCCUUGGAGUCCAAGGUCUUCAUUUCAACAUGCGAAACCGUGAUCGCAAAAGGCCACCGAUGAGGCAAAUGCUUUUCAACAAAGGGAUGGCUGCAUAUCACAAAAAUUUUCAACAAGAAAGCUGGAAAGAACUGGACUAUAUCCUAGAUGAAGAACUACUGGAGUGAACUGCGGGAGCAACACAAACACCUGUUCGAGCUGCUGCAAUGUACAGGAAUUGAGUACCACUCGAGCACCGGUACAAUCGUUGCUCCGGAGCAUUGGUGGGACGCCAAAAUCAAGGUGCAUUAUUUCCAUUAUAACUUCCAUGUACUAUCAUGCUGUGUCUAUCUUAUUAAAGUUGUGUGUGAGCAUGAUUGAUAUACAAAUAGAAUUUCUUAAUAAUGCUAAUUUCAUACUGUGACGCUUAGUAUGUGACACUAGUUCAUCCACAUGAUCUAGAUCAACAUAGAGGUUCAUUUGCUCUUGUUAAUGCAUUGGUUAAUUGUCGUUAACUGCAUGCAUUUGAGUGUUUCCUUCUAGUUCAUGCAUUUGUUUAUUCGUAUCCUUUUCCGUUCUAAUAUCGUGUUUCAUUAUUCGUUAUGUUUUCAUUUUCAUUUGGAAACAAGAUAAGCCAAAGUAUGCGAAGUAUAAGCACAUUGAUUGCAACGAGAUUUAUGACACUUGUGGAAAGCUGUUCGGGGACACCUAAGACGCAACGAAGUACGCGUUGUCCCCAACAAAGCUGUCGCAACGUGGCUUUGACCUAAGUACAGAUAGUGAUCGAGAAGACGUCGGCGACAAGUUACCAAUCAACACAGAGGGAACCGAUUCUAGUGGCAGUCCAAACGAGGACAGAGGAAACUCUUUGAUGAACAUAUCCGGGAGGCAAAAUGGUGACAAAUGGAAAGGAAAACAAUGGAGAGACAGAUGAUAUAAGAAACGGUACAGUGCUGGAGACGUGUCGACAUCACUUGAGUAGAUGGUUAGCGUCAGAACAGAUCUGGCCUCCAUUGCGAGAUCACAUCGUAACAGAGGAAUGUCGGUCAACGAGUGUGUCGACGAAUUGCUCUCGUUGGGUUAUGUGAAGAAGGGUGAUAUGCUCCACUUGUUCGCCAUGUAGUUUCUCAGCGACUAAGAUGAUCAAAAUUCGUACUGUGCUGCGAAGACACCAAUUCUGUGCUUCAAGUUUGUGGAGUACUGUUUCGAGCGAGACAAUAUAUCAUGUGAGUGAAAGGGGUGAUUGCUUGGCAUUCGACUUAUGCUGUUGUGCACUUUCCGAUUCAUUUUUUUCCCUGCACCUUUUUUUUGUGCAUUUUACUUGUGAGAUUUAGCUGUAACUGACUUUAGAAGUUAAAAAUUUUCUGUGUCGCAUGUGAACCUGUUGCCUUGGAGUGAUUUGUACUUUCACUAUUAUAUGUACCAUAUUGUAUUAUUAUAUUCUUUUUACA